This is a non-coding RNA of Podarcis muralis (Common wall lizard), 963 nucleotides long. NCBI's taxonomy places the organism in Eukaryota, Metazoa, Chordata, Lepidosauria, Squamata, Lacertidae. The record is from RefSeq and is a predicted model, not a curated record.
GAUUUCAACAAUCCCAAUGUUUGAGAGUCAGUAGCAAAGACAUUGUAAAGGUAUGGUGAUCUGCCAAUGGAACAACCCCACUGAAGAAGAAAACAGAAUGUGCCAUGGGCUAGGAGUCAGCUUCGCCUGCUGAAGAGCAGCCUGAAGGAGGAGAAGGCAGAGUGCCUCCACCUGCAGCUGAUCAGCCUUCAAGGACACAGAGGAGAAGGACCUGAUGAGAACCAGCUGACUUCAGCCUUAAGCAGAGCUUCCAGCAGCAGUCAGAUGCUGAAGACAAUGCUUGUAGUUCCUGGCAUUGCCUUGCUGUUGCCUGCUCAUCUUGACCCACUGAUCAUUGGAUGACCUGACCUCUGGACUGUUUGACCAUGCGGAUUGCUGUUCACUCAACCCUAGGACUGGACCUGACUUCAUAAACUGACUCAGCCUCCAGAUAAAUUUCUGCCAUUCACUUGACAAGGGACUUCCCUGAAGAAUAAGCUGCAGCUGGGGAAGAAUAUUGCGAUCAGUUUUAAAGGAAAAAGCAGGAAUGGCUAACCUUCAGCCCUCCAGGUCUUGCUGUACAGCACCUCCCCAACCAUUGCCUAUGCUGGCUAAGACUGAUGAGAGCUGGAUUCCAACAUCUGGAGAGCCACAGGUGUGCAGUCCAACUUUAAGGAAUGUUCAGAGCACUUCCCAUGCGUAAUCGUGUUGCAAUCCUAACAAUAGCCUGCAAAGUAGAUCAGUAUUAUCCUAACGCUGCAGCUGAGUAUGAAGUUCUGAGGCCAACAGAUUGUGAUUUGUUUAAGCCACAAUCCUAGUGAGGUCAUGACCAAGGUGAAAUUUGAAUUGGGGGGGGGGGCGCUUCCUGAUUUUGCAACUCAGUUAUCUUAUUUUUGUAUAACUGUCUGACAUGGCCGUAGUUCUGAAGUUGCUAUACAAUUGUCUUAGGGUGGAAGGCUUCUUUAGCAUAUACUUACUGAUUGC